Molecule: unclassified non-coding RNA, 344 nt
Filed under: soil metagenome
Description: partial contains 5.8S ribosomal RNA, internal transcribed spacer 2, and large subunit ribosomal RNA
Rfam family: 5.8S ribosomal RNA (bases 1-120)
Source: RNAcentral
GAUGAAGAACGUAGCGAAAUGCGAUAAGUAAUGUGAAUUGCAGAAUUCCGUGAAUCAUCGAAUUUUUGAACGCACAUUGCGCCCCCUGGUAUUCCGGGGGGCAUGCCUGUCCGAGCGUCAUUGCUGCCCUCAAGCACGGCUUGUGUGUUGGGCCUCCGUCCUCCUCCCGGGGGACGGGCCCGAAAGGCAGCGGCGGCGCCGCGUCCGGUCCUCGAGCGUAUGGGGCUUCGUCACCCGCUCUUGUAGGCCCGGCCGGCGCUUGCCGACACAUCAAUCUUUUUUCCAGGUUGACCUCGGAUCAGGUAGGGAUACCCGCUGAACUUAAGCAUAUCAAUAAGCGGAGG